CCAGACUCCUACGGGAGGCAGCAGUGGGGGAUAUUGCACAAUGGGGGGAACCCUGAUGCAGCGACGCCGCGUGGGUGAAGGAGUGCUUCGGCGCGUAAAGCCCUGUCAGCAGGGAAGAAAAUGACGGUACCUGAAGAAGAAGCCCCGGCUAACUACGUGCCAGCAGCCGCGGUAAUACGUAGGGGGCAAGCGUUAUCCGGAUUUACUGGGUGUAAAGGGGGCGCAGACGGCGAUGCAAGUCAGAAGUGAAAACCCAGGGCUCAACCUUGGGACUGCUUUUGAAACUGAGUAGCUAGAGUGCAGGAGAGGUAAGCGGAAUUCCUAGUGUAGCGGUGAAAUGCGUAGAUAUUAGGAGGAACACCAGUGGCGAAGGCGGCUUACUGGACUGUAACUGACGUUGAGGCUCGAAAGCGUGGGGAGCAAACAGGAUUAGAUACCCGAGUAC
This 445-nucleotide ribosomal RNA is filed under the name uncultured bacterium. RNAcentral's name for it is "bacterial SSU rRNA". It matches the Rfam family "Bacterial small subunit ribosomal RNA", at positions 331 to 793 of the family's 1533-position model. The record is from RNAcentral.